RNAcentral lists this ribosomal RNA (406 nucleotides) under uncultured bacterium. RNAcentral describes it as "partial 16S ribosomal RNA". It matches the Rfam family "Bacterial small subunit ribosomal RNA", at positions 29 to 526 of the family's 1533-position model. The record is from RNAcentral.
AUUGAACGCUGGCGGCAGGCUUAACACAUGCAAGUCGAACGAGCGGCGGACGGGUGAGUAAUGUCUGGGAACCUGCCUGAUGGAGGGGGCUAACUACUGGAAACGGUAGAUAAUACCGCAUAACACCAGAUGGGGCCAGAGGGGAUUAGCUAGUAGGUGGGGUAAGGGCUCACCAAGGCGAAGAUCCCUAGCUGGUCUGAGAGGAUGACCAGCCACACUGGAACUGAGACACGGCCCAGACUCCUACGGGAGGCAGCAGUGGGGAAUAGUGCACAAUGGGCGCAAGCCGGAUGCAGCCAUGCCGCGUGUGUGAAGAAGGCCUUCGGGGUGUAAAGCACUUUCAGCGAGGAGGCGGUACUCGAAGAAGAAGCACCGGCUAACUCCGUGCCAGCAGCCGCGGUAAUUC